GUUUGUGUGUACAUGUAUAUGUAUAUAUACACCCACACAUACAUGUAUGUGUAUGUGUAUAUGUUAUUUCUGCAUCACGUCUCCAUAAAUGUAUAUUCUUA
Molecule: microRNA precursor, 101 nt
Filed under: Cavia aperea (Brazilian guinea pig)
Lineage: Eukaryota; Metazoa; Chordata; Mammalia; Rodentia; Caviidae
Description: miRNA (ENSCAPG00000000794.1)
Source: RNAcentral